This 269-nucleotide ribosomal RNA is filed under the name uncultured eukaryote. RNAcentral describes it as "partial small subunit ribosomal RNA". It matches the Rfam family "Eukaryotic small subunit ribosomal RNA", at positions 1161 to 1452 of the family's 1831-position model. The record is from RNAcentral.
AGGGCACCACCAGGAGUGGAGCCUGCGGCUUAAUUUGACUCAACACGGGGAAACUCACCAGGUCCAGACACAAUAAGGAUUGACAGAUUGAGAGCUCUUUCUUGAUUUUGUGGGUGGUGGUGCAUGGCCGUUCUUAGUUGGUGGAGUGAUUUGUCUGCUUAAUUGCGAUAACGAACGAGACCUUAACCUCUAAAUAGGGCUGUUAGCAUUUUGCUGGCGAGCGCUUCUUAGGGGGACUAUUGACUUGAAGUCGAUGGAAGUUUGAGGCA